AUACAGAAAUAUAUGGGAAAAGGGCUGAUAUAUUUCUUAAUAUACUAUCAAUACAUCUCCAUAUAUUUCCCAGUAUAUUGCAAUAUACUUUUGUUUCGUAAGGGGGCCGCCUCUUCUUUGGAACAGACGGGCUCUUUCCUUUCUCGCGAGCUAAGAUCAUUAAGGAGAAGACCCGUUGGUGUUCGCGCCCCCCUAGGAAACAGACGGUGGGAUCUCCUUUCUGCUUCCUUUCUCGCCGCUGCUGGGUGUC
This is a long non-coding RNA of Oryzias melastigma (Indian medaka), 250 nucleotides long. RefSeq lists it as uncharacterized. Lineage: Eukaryota; Metazoa; Chordata; Actinopteri; Beloniformes; Adrianichthyidae. The transcript is spliced from 2 exons. The record is from RefSeq and is a predicted model, not a curated record.